This 65-nucleotide transfer RNA is filed under the name Strongylium suspicax. Its description in RNAcentral is "tRNA-Phe". It matches the Rfam family "tRNA". From Rfam's summary of the family: Transfer RNA (tRNA) molecules are approximately 80 nucleotides in length. Their secondary structure includes four short double-helical elements and three loops (D, anti-codon, and T loops). Further hydrogen bonds mediate the characteristic L-shaped molecular structure. tRNAs have two regions of fundamental functional importance: the anti-codon, which is responsible for specific mRNA codon recognition, and the 3' end, to which the tRNAs corresponding amino acid is attached (by aminoacyl-tRNA synthetases). tRNAs cope with the degeneracy of the genetic code in two manners: having more than one tRNA (with a specific anti-codon) for a particular amino acid; and 'wobble' base-pairing, i.e. permitting non-standard base-pairing at the 3rd anti-codon position. The record is from RNAcentral. Lineage: Eukaryota; Metazoa; Arthropoda; Insecta; Coleoptera; Tenebrionidae.
ACUUAGAUAGCUUAAGUUUAGAGCGUAACACUGAAAAUGUUAAGGUGAAUUUUAUUUUUUAGGUA